This 194-nucleotide ribosomal RNA is filed under the name uncultured bacterium. RNAcentral describes it as "partial 16S ribosomal RNA". It matches the Rfam family "Bacterial small subunit ribosomal RNA", at positions 336 to 523 of the family's 1533-position model. The record is from RNAcentral.
CUCCUACGGGAGGCAGCAGUGGGGAAUUUUGGACAAUGGGCGAAAGCCUGAUCCAGCCACGCCGCGUGAGUGAAGAAGGCCUUCGGGUUGUAAAGCUCUUUUAGUCGGAAAGAAAGAGUUGCAAUGAAUAAUUGUGAUUUAUGACGGUACCGACAGAAAAAGCACCGGCUAACUACGUGCCAGCGCCGCGGUAA